CAGCAGCCGCGGUAAUACGGAGGGGGCUAGCGUUGUUCGGAAUUACUGGGCGUAAAGCGCACGUAGGCGGCUAUUCAAGUCAGAGGUGAAAGCUUGGAGCUCAACUCCAGAAUUGCCUUUAAGACUGCCGAGCUAGUAGGUGAGAGAGGUAAGUGGAAUUCCGAGUGUAGAGGUGAAAUCCGUAGAUAUUCGGAAGAACACCAGUGGCGAGGGCGGCUUACUGGCUCAUUCUAGACGCUGAGGUGCGAAAGCGUGAGGAGCAAACAGGAUUAGAUACCCCGGUAGUCCCUGUCUCUUAUAC
RNAcentral lists this ribosomal RNA (301 nucleotides) under uncultured bacterium. Its description in RNAcentral is "partial 16S ribosomal RNA". It matches the Rfam family "Bacterial small subunit ribosomal RNA", at positions 509 to 807 of the family's 1533-position model. The record is from RNAcentral.